This 303-nucleotide ribosomal RNA is filed under the name uncultured bacterium. RNAcentral's name for it is "partial 16S ribosomal RNA". It matches the Rfam family "Bacterial small subunit ribosomal RNA", at positions 507 to 809 of the family's 1533-position model. The record is from RNAcentral.
AGCAGUAGCCGCGGUAAUACGUAGGUGGCAAGCGUUGUCCGGAAUUAUUGGGCGUAAAGCGCGCGCAGGCGGAUCGGUCAGUCUGUCUUAAAAGUUCGGGGCUUAACCCCGUGAUGGGAUGGAAACUGCCAAUCUAGAGUAUCGGAGAGGAAAGUGGAAUUCCUAGUGUAGCGGUGAAAUGCGUAGAUAUUAGGAAGAACACCAGUGGCGAAGGCGACUUUCUGGACGAAAACUGACGCUGAGGCGCGAAAGCCAGGGGAGCGAACGGGAUUAGAUACCCGCGUAGUCCCUGUCUCUUAUACA